This 12607-nucleotide long non-coding RNA is filed under the name Musa acuminata (dwarf banana). RNAcentral describes it as "long non-coding RNA (MACU_LNC002607)". The record is from RNAcentral. Lineage: Eukaryota; Viridiplantae; Streptophyta; Magnoliopsida; Zingiberales; Musaceae.
UUUCUUUAAGUGUUAAAAGUCCUCAAUUGCCACCCAAGCUGCCAAGCUCCCUCUCCGCUUCCGCACCUCCGUCGCCAUCGCCUCCCGUCGGUCAUAUUUCUCUGUCGAUGUAGAAGCAGGUGUUGCCGGUGCUCCAGCAGUGAGAGCCGCAAGUAUUACCUCUUCUAGAAGUCUCCUCUCCUAAUACUUAUUUAUUCCGCUGCUUCUCUCCCCACCCCAACAGGAGGAGGGCAUGACAGAAACCAAGCAAAGAGAAGACACAUGAAAUUUUUCACAGGAAUCAAAAUUUCCUGUACAAUUAUUGAUCAAGAAUCUCAUCAUUACGGUGACAAUGCAUUUGACCUAAUACUUCUCUUGAAGAACAAAUCUAUCAUCUCAUCAUCGUACGUGUCUCCGAUGUGAACAGACAAGUUGGUAGACAAAUUAAUGCUUGCAUAACACGAGUCUUUAAAUAUUGAACGAUGCACGAAAAUAGAAACCGUCUUCGGAUCUGCUUGCACCCAAAAUUUGCAUUUGCAUCACGUAAAUCAACUGAUGUAAACCAGCUUGCAACUAUUGGAAUAAACCUCGUGAAAGCUAAGUCUGGGAUGUCUGCAUCAAAGUUUAGCAUAAUACUUAACAUUAUCGCUACUUUUUCCCCGUCCUCGUUGUAAAGGAAGCGAUCAAAAAAUAAUAGCCUGUCGCUUUACAGACUAGAAAAUGCGACAACAUAGUGCAUCGAUAAGAUUCUCAAAGCAUUAUUAGCUCACAAACGACUCCAUCCGUGUUCUUCGGUUGACUGAGAACAUGCAAGGUAAUUGAAAGAACACGGCACUAGAAUCAAGAACACUGCAUUCCAUAGUAAGAAUGAUGCUUGGUUAGAUGUGAGCUUAAAGGUCCAGCACCAUCGCUACAGUCACGUUCACCUUUCUAAAGGAGCUAGAGCUGAACCAUGAACAUGGUCUUCCCCUGCCUCAAUUCUCAACUCUAUCGUUCCUUUCUACUUCCCUUCCCGGACCUCCCACCAGAUUCUUAUUCCUAUCUAUUUCUUUCGAAUUUGGUUUCCCAGCAAUUUCAGAUGCUGCAGGUUUUCCCCAACAACAAGGAAUGAGACAAUCAUAAAAAAUUGAAGAAAAACAAACAGUCAAAAACUCAAUCUUUCAAGUCAAAGCAACAUUACUAACAGUGGUAGAACUCUCUCUAUCCCUCACAAAGAAGAAAGAACAAGAAGAAGAGAUCCACGACCUAUCAAUCACAAGCAACCCAAUAGAAAAGAACACCAAAGGAGAGCUUUUUGUUGACGCAUGUGCAACAUGGGGAUGGCAGCAGUGAGCAGCGAGAGAGCGUGAGCGAAAACCCUACCCCCGAGAAGCCAGAGAGGAAGGGCGAAAUCAGCGGGCGGCCAAGGGAACGGGGGCGCGGACCCGCAGGGCGUGGGCCGGCGGGGGGAGGGGCGGCGGCGGGGAGGCGAAGGGGAGACGCCGCAGGAUGAGGAAACGGAUGCGCCAGGGUAAGAGGGCGACGUGGAGCAACUGCUCCAGCACCCGCGCCACCAGCGCCGUGUACUCCUCCAGCAGCUCCACCCCGAUGGCGACGAGUAUCAUUUCUUCUCUUCUCCAAUACACCAAGUCCUCGUUCUCCUCAAACAAAUAUCUAGGUUCCGUUCGGAUCCGAUCGCGCGAUAUCCGGCGAUAAACCUUUUACCGCUUCCUUUCUUGCUCAAGAUUUGACAGCACAGGUGACGGAAAGCUUCGGACUUAUUUCAGUGAUCGGUUGGUAACUCCUCGCUAUAUAUAUGUCAGGAUUUAUAUAGAUAAGACAAAGAUCAAUCGAUGUGAAGGGGUAUACAUUUCUGAAGCAGCGGGAAACGUCUUCCUAUGUGCUACCGCUGCUGGGAUCGAAACUUGGACAACUAUGUGAGCGAGUCGACGGUAUCGGUUUGAAGGACCAAACCGCAUAAACUGAAGACACAACGCGAUCGUUUUAGCCUCUUUUCGAAGGCGCCGCCCCCUUCGAUCUUAUCCGUUUCCAAAACCAGAUGUCGUCACCACCUUGCACGAGAGGCAGCCUGCCCUUCUAUUAAUUACGAACUAUGGAACUUUCCGGAGGUUCUCAUUCGGUCAGGGUAGGCCCCGCAUUUCUCUCCAAUUGUAAGACCGGUAAUCUGCUGGGGUAAACUAAUACGAUAGGAAGAGCACAGGUCCUGUUUCCCGGUUUCAACGUUGGCUUAGGCUGACGCAGGGUGAGGCUUAGGUGGGAGCGGGCGACUUCGGGUAUUGAGAUAGUGGCUUUAUUGUUCCGGAUAUAAUAAUUAUUAUUAUUAUUAUUUUCACUAUUGUUUGGACGGAUGGCUGUGAUGUAGUGGCGGGAAGGAGUUAGUAAGAUGGGAUGAUGAUCAUGAUGAAACUAUACAAAAUUAAUCUAGUGAUUCUGGCCGCUACAAAUCAGGGGUAGCCCCAUGUAUGGCUCGCCAUUGUUUUGUUUGACUUAAUUUUGACCAAAGAACCAUUUUUAAAUUAUCAAAAACUCUUUCAAAAUCUCAAAAAAUAAAUGCCUACGGAUUCGGUGGUACAAUCUCAAAUGCUCGAUUUGCUGAUAGACAGUUAACGGCUAAUUCAAUCAUAAUUCAUAAAUAUCAUUGUUAAAGAUCUAAUAUACUUAAUCAAUGACAAAUUUGAUUGAUUCGGUGGUAUAAUGCCUUUCUUUUAUAGAAGAUUGUGGAAUUCUUCCAUGGGAAGAACUAUAAUUAGUCACUUCUAAUUUUAUUUUUAUAUAUAAUAUUAAAGAUAAUAUUUUAAAACAUUAUAAUUAAUGAACAAUAAGUAAAUAUUACAGUGUUGGGUCCUUCUGUCUAAUUAUCUCCUUUUUUUAUUUUAGAAAUAUGUAAAUACAUUAAUUUAGCCAACUAUAAUAAAAUAUCUACACCAUCUAAUCAAUUACAUUUUAAGACAUUAGCCCGGCAUAACACUUGAGGCAUCUCCUACAGUCGCCCCCACCUUUUAAAUCUUUAUAUUAUGUGUGCUAUGCAUACAUACAUAUACAAACAAAUAAAAAGUACAUUUUGGAAAUGAAAAUUUUAAACUCUUUCUAUUCUAUCGUCAGUCAUUUGCCAAUCCACCAAAAAACAAAAAUCCUUCCAUAUAUAGUUAGUGGACAUGCAUUUGGUAUUUCUUCAAUUUUCUUGGAAGACUUCAUAAAAAAAUUCAAGUUAAAUUAAAAAACUUUUUGGCCUUGGCAUUCAUGUCCUUAGUUAAAGACUACGGCCAAUUUUGACAUACAAUUCAAUUUUGUGCAUAUAUUGGACUAUCAUCCAGCGUAUGAACACAUCAAAUACGUAUGUAUGCCGUAUAGAAGGCGUUACUCUGCGUACACGGACGGGCACAGAUCAAAACACAGUCCCUUUUUGGUGGGAUUCGAUAUGUUCGGUUGUAACAGAAUCGCCAAGAUGAAAGUCCUAUCGCGACAGAUGCUCCGUUUUUAAAGUAAAGUCGUUAUCAUAUUCGGCACUCCUCGCGCUCUCGCUCUUCUCCGUGAAACGUCGCUGCUCCACUUGCUUCGGAGAUCUCAACGGCGUAGUAGCGAUGUUUCGCUCCGACGGCGCCGACGCCGACGUCCCGCCGCCAUCGCUCUCAACCUUCCUAUACCCGUCCUCUCCUCAGCCGUCGUUCUCUACCUUCGUGUCGCCGUGCUUCUCGCCGCCGUUGUACGUCGAUCGCCUCGUCUCUUCCUUCGGGCACCUCCCGCGACCGCCACCCCCGACCCCGCCGCUGCCGUCGUACGACUUGUGGAGCCCGUCCUACUCCGCCUUCUCUUCCCGUUCGGCCCCUCCCGCCGACGCCGCUCGGCGCCACGGCUCGUAUGCCUCGUUGGCUCCUCGCCCGUGGGGAUCAGCCGAGAGCCGCUCGAAUCCCGCUUUAGACUUUGGACUUGAACGGCCGGAGUGGCCGUGUACUCCUCGGUUUGGGCGAUUAGAUCGGACGCCUCCUUGGUUGGUGGAUCACUCACUCGCCAGCCGUCCCUCUUCCUCCUAUGGAGGUAAGGCACAUAAUGCCUUGGAUGCUGAUAGGACAAUAGCUUUGAUCAUGUUGAUGAUUGUUAUUUGGAUUUACGUUAGAGCUUGUUGGAUGAAAUGUGAAAAUUUGGUGUCUGUCCAUGGUGUUCUUCAUGGUUUUAGGUUUUAGAUGCACCCGUACCCGACUCAGCAUCUAAUUGGGACAAAAUGCCAUGGCACAGACCCUACCUCUAAUUUGACUGACUCAUAUAUUGAUUCUAGAUUAUUUUCCAUUUUCUAUGGACACAAGUAAGAAUGUUAUUUAUCAACAUAUAUUUCUGAUGCAUUAACUUUUACAAUAUUUCUAUUAUGUAAUCCAGCUGCACAAUAUUCUUCAGACCAAGUACAUGAUGCCUCAGCUAGGGCAAGCUUAACACCUGAUCGCAUUAUAUUUAAAGAUGGAUAUGCAUUUACUCUUCAUGAAAGUCCAUAUAGCGUCAAUGAUUAUUUCUCUCCAGCUGAGCAGGAGAAGUCUAGCAUCCUUCAGAAUGCUGCAGAGAAUGACGUGAAAUUGUCAAAGGAUAGUUGCAACUUGGACAUAUAUGAUGAUUCCUCCUUGAAUUAUUCUGUCAUGGUAAAUGGAUCUUCUGCAUCCAGUGAUUCCACCAAUGCGAACAAUAGAAAGCAUUCGUUAGGUGGAUCAAUGACUUCAAAUUCGAAAAAUUUCAAUUCAUUGUGUUAUCGAUACCGUUUCUGUGAAUCUGAUAAAAGCAUGCCCAUUUCUUCGGACCCACUUGUUCAGUACAAUUUAUCUGCUAAUUCAGCCAGGACAGGAGCUCCAGAUUAUUAUCGGUUUCCGUUUCUAGCUGGAGAUCGUGUAUAUCCUUCUCCUAUUUUAAACAAUUUAGAGGGUUGCAGUCAUUUUGAUCAAGGCGGAUAUUAUCUCUCGGACAAUACCAAACUGGAAUAUUCACAUUUUCCGGAGCAUGUGGAUAGUUUAAAUUGCCCUGAGUAUCAUAAUGAUGAUUUGGGAUCAUUUUCUGUUCAUCGACGGGGACAUCCAAAAUCUGAAAAUAACAAAACAGGAAUGUCAGGAGAUGAAGAGAUCGACACAAGGCAGCAUGCUUGUAUUUCAUAUGUUUUAAGAGACCAAUGUGGUGAAACUGGAGAAAACAUGAAUAUUUUGGGUCAACAAGAGAGCAUUUCACAACCUGUUGUAUCUGGUGAGGCAACCGAUCCUCAGAUAGGUCCUAAGAUUGCAGGUCAAGGUACUCUAAUUCUAAGCCAGUGUACUUCAAGAUCAUACAAUUAGAAUAUGUUUUUGCGGUUUAUCCUAAAUGCCUCAGGUUUUGCAGCCGAAUAUAGACAUCCUGGAAAAGAUUUUCAGCUUCUUCCUAAAACAAUUCUGGGAUUGUCCGAAGUCCUUGUAUCCGAUCUAUACGGUGGUGGUGGCGUUAUUAAUUUGAAGGAAGAGGAUGAGGAGCUUAUUCAGCAAGUAAUUGACAAUCUGAAAUCUCUUAUCAACAGAGGCAGGAAGGUAGAAGGCUCAACAUGUUACAUGUUUCUCGAUAACUCAUUUUAUAAAUGUUUCUGUAUGAUUUAGAAUAUUUUGCUUAAAUGUAUUUAUGAAUAGUGCUUAAUAUAUAAGCUUGGAACAUGGUCUUCUGUAAAAUGUCUAGCUUUUACUUGCUAACUCUCAGAUUGAAAUAUUUAGAUGAAGUCAACAUUGAUGCCGGUAGAACUGAAAUAACUAUGAUGUUUGAAACCUUUUGUUCUUCUCAAGAAAUAAAUUAAAAUAUGCAACUAUUUCAGCCAAUUUGUUUCAUCAUAAUCUUACAGGGUUAAAUCUUUUGAUAACUAAAUUUCUUUUGCCGUUAGCUUUGAAGUGUAAAAAAUUAGUGGUCCCUAUGUGAGAGUAGUAGAACAAUGUUGGUGAUGCCACUAUAUUGUACUGCAUCAUUAUUGUUAUAUCCUUUAAAAUAAUUUUUUUGUUUUGUCUUUUGAAGUUAAGUCAUGAGCACUUUAAAAAAAAUUAAAAGCAUAUGCUUGUUUAGACUUGGAUAUGAUGAAAUAGAUAGGAAGAAGAUAUGAAGCUAACACAUAAAAAAGAAUAAGGACAAGGUAAAAUAUUUUUUGUUUCACUUAAAAAAAUUUAUUAUAACUUCAAAUUUUUUUUAUGUCUUUCAUGACCUAACACAUAGGGUUUAUAUAAUCUCUAUCUAUAUAUUAUAUUUAUUAUAUUCAAUAUAAAUCUCUCUUAUGCAAGAAAUCUUUUUCAUGAACUAAUAAUCAAUUUAGACCUUUAAUAUGAAGUAGUUUUACUUUAUUAUUUUUAUCAUGAUCUAUUAUAAAAUAAAAUAUUAUACUAAUAUAUUUUGAUCUUUCAUAGUAGAUUAAAUUCUUGGCUAAGGUAAUAAUUAACUUGUUAUCAAUAUAAAUCUUGAUUGGCUUCUACUACAACACCUAAAGUUUUUAACGAGGUUUUAGAUUUGGAGUUAAGAAAGCUAACUGAAGUCAGAAAAAAGUCAAGUUCUGUAUACCAAUCUCGUGGAGCUUGACAAAAUCCAUAAAUAGCUUUUCGUAAUUUGCAAACAUGUCUAUAUUGAGGAUGAAUAAAAUCAGGAGGUUGGUGUAUAAAAAACAGCUUCAGUUAGAGUCCCCUCAUGAUCCUCACUAUACCACUCCAGUUCAGCAAUUGCCCAUUCCCUCCAUUCCUACUCUAUCUCUUUCUUCUCCAAAUGUUGGGGUAAUUAGUUCGCCAACACAACCUCAAUUCCGUAGUCUCCAACCGACCACACACUCUAAGAAUGGUAUUUUCAAACCGCGUAAAAUCUUUAACCUUCAUGCUAUCAUGGAUUCCUUAUCGAUCACAGUUGAACUUACCACCUUCACUCAAGCCCAAAAGAGUAGUCUUCUUAACCAUAUUGUAUGACAAACACAAGAAAAUACUGUUAUAUAUUUUGCUUUAUACCAUGAUAGAGCAACAAAAUAUAUUUUCUUUUGAAGAACAUGUGAAUGUAGUUUCACCAAAAUAAAAUAUAAAUCUUAUUGUUCUAUUUCAACUUUUGACUCAAUUACUAUCAGUAUAACCAAUGAGCUUUAACCUUUUAGAUAAUGAAUAUAAUAUGUCAUAGUCAAUUAUUCCUUUAAUAUUUUAUAAAAUUUUUUUAGUGGCCUUUAAAUGAUAUCUUACGAGCUUCUAUAUUCUACUUAGCAAACCAAUUUCAAAUAAUAUCUCAGGUCGAGACAUUUAACUAGAGUUUGUAACCAUUAGAAUUCUUAACAUAAUCUAACAAGAUAUAUUUUUAAUUUUUAUCUUUAAGCUUUUUUUUUUCUUUUCAUCUAGUAUCUUGGCAAAUGCAAUACUUUAAAAAAUUGUCAAAUAAACUCUCGAUUUUUAUAAGCUAUAUACUUUUUUUGAUGUAAUAUUAUCAAUUUGUUUUGUCGAAAACUUGCUAAGCAAAUAAACUAUAUAAGUAAUAACUUUAACAUGUAUUCAUUACUAAAUUCUUAAAUUCUAUAAAUUUACUUUUUUUCUUUUACUUUAACAUGUAAACAUAAUUUUUGCUAUUAUGAUCAUCAGUAAAGAUAAGAAAAUAUACUUCCUUCAAGUGAUAUUGGAUCUGAUAGUGCCAUAAAUAUCUAAGUGCAUCAUAUCAAGUUAAUGUUAUGCUCUUUUUAUUUUUCUUAAUUUCUUAACAAUCUUGUCAUCAUAUUAUACUUCUUUAAUAGUUUUAAGGUCUCAAAAUUUAAGAACCAAAUCUAAGCUAUCAUAAUAUAGAAUUAUCCUUAAUAUAGAUUUUAAAAUAAUUUGAUUGAUAAAAAAUAUAUAAAUGUAAAGAAAAUAUUUUAUUUUUCAUCAUUUUUAUAUGUGAGAUUAAUGUUUUAUUUUGUCAUGAAUUGAAAGAGUGAUAUCUUAAUAUCAUAAUUUUUUCAAGCAAUUACCUCAAGCUCAAAAUAUUAUUUUUCAUAUCAAAAACAUAAUAAACAUCUAAGAUGCAUAAUUUUUUAUUAGUAUUAAGUUCAAGAAAAAAAUUACUUUUACCUUUUACUAGAUAUAUCACCAUAUAUAAUAUUAUCAAAAUAACUUAUAUCUAUUUUGAAAAAAGUUUUUUGUUGUCACACAUGUGAUUUGAAUUUUUAUAUCUAAAUAAUAUGUCAUAGUAUGAUCUUUUUUUCAAAUUAUCAUAAGUCACUAGCAAAAUAAGAUUUUAAUUUUUCUUUCUCAAUAAAAUUUAUUUUAUCAUUUUGAUUGUUAGGAUUAGAAUAAUAUUAAAAGAGUAGUCUCCAUAUUUUUUAUAAAUAUAACAUUAUAUUUUAAACCUUUUAGAAUUUUUAUCACGUCCAUGACCUUAGCCUUGUCAUCAACCUCUUUGUUUAUUUUAGAUUUGUGAUUAGUUUAAUUUUUGCCACCUUUUCUUUUUUGUUCACCACCUCUUCCUCUUUGAGAUUUGAAUUCACUUUUAUUCUAAGAGUAUGCUUGGUUUAUAUUGUAUGCCUUAUAAAUUUUUCUUGUUCUCCUUUUGUAAGUCUUUGUUCAUAAACUUGAAGAGAAUUAAUUAAUUAUUCUAAAGAUAUUUAUUCCAAGUUUUUAGACUCUUCAAUUACAAUAGUAAUAAAAUUGAACUUUGGAUAUAGAGAUCUUAGUAUUUAUUAUUAUUUAUUUAUUUUAUAAAUUUAUUUGAUAAAUAAUAGAAAUAAUUUUUGAAAAAUAAUUAGAAAUAAAUAUAAAAGUAUCUUAUUGUAAUUUUUCAAGCCUAGCUUGUAAAACUUAUAAGUAGUUUUUUUACCAUGUUCAUGCCAUCAAAUUCUUGAAGCCUUUGGUAAAUCAUGAAUAAAUCAUUCUUUUUUUUUUUUUUUUUUGAUUUGUUUUCCUAUUCCUCUAUCCAUUACACCUCAUUCAUCUUGGAAGUUUAAAAGGGCCUUUAUUUAGAUUCAUCAUAAUUUUCUUUUGUCAAUCUAAGAUUUAGAAAUAGAGCUAUUGAAGAGUAAGAACAAGAUAAAAUAUUCUUCCUUUUACUUAAAAGAAACUCAUUAUAAUUUCAUGAAACUUUAUUUCUUCAUGACUGGAAUUUAUCUAGUACCCAUGGAUAAAUUAUAUUAUUACAUUUAAUAUGAAUAUCUUUUCUUGAAGAGAUCCUUUUUAAAAAUUAAUAAUCAAUUUAAUUUAUUCUUUUAUAAGCCUUUAAUCACCUCUUGAUGCAAUGAACUUUAUUAUGCUACCAAGUUUAAUUUCAACAAGAUCUGCUAUAAUAGUGUUAAUAAGUCUGCCCUUGUUUCUACAAUUUAAAUUGUUUAUCAUAAUGUCUGAUACUCACUAUCUAACCUGUAGUGUUUCAUAUCAUUUUCUAUAAAUGAAAAGUUUGACAGUGAUAAAAAGCUUAGCAACAGCAAAAAUAUGAAAGCGACUAUCCNNNNNNNNNNNNNNNNNNNNGAAAGCGACUAUCCAUGGAAUAGAAGUCGGAGCCAAUAAUAAUAACUUCAGCAACUGUGUACCGAGAGAUGUUGAUGUUGAAUUAAAGGGAUGCACGACCAAGGUAAAUAUGUACCAUUUUGAGUCGCAGCGCAAUUUAUCUUAUUACUUCUUGCUGACGUCAAAAGUAUCACGCUUUUUCAUAUCUACAGGAGGCCCUAGAUAUGAUCUUAGGGGAAAACCACUUUAAGUCAGUAGAAGAAUCUGAGAUGCUAUUUUACAAGAAACAUUGGCUGGAGGCAGAAAUUGCAUUAUCCACGGUGAAAUUUCAACUUGCUCAGAUGAAACUUGAGGUAGAAAAUGACAAACUGAAACUGAAAGGUAAAAAACUAAUACCAGGUGAAAUAUAUUUUGUUGCUCACUUUUUUCUAUCAAAUCUGUCACACUGAAUCCAUUACAUGUUAUUUCAGCAAAUUUGGACGAGUCAUCUGAUGUGCAACAGAAGCCUUCACGAUUGUACAAUUUAAUAAGCUUGAAUUCUAUGGAUGACAUUAUCGAGCAUGAUGAACGGAGUUGCCAGGGCAAUCAAAGUUUGUGCAGUAACAUGGAACCACUUGAAAUAAGGCAAAGCAAAACAGAUGAUGUUGAUGCUUCUGUUAUGUCUACUUUCAGAGUCACAAAUGCAUUGCCUGAUAGGUCAAACAGCACUACCAUGGCAGACCAUGCGCAGAUUCAUGAUUCUGCAGAAGUUGAAGGUUGGUUGGGAUAUGGACAGACCGCAAAUGGUCAUCAUCCAAAUGGUGAACAAACUCAGGAAUCAAAGUUUCUACCAAGUCAUGUCGAAUCUGGGUUUUCUUGCUGGAACCAACAAUUCCAUGUGGUUGCUGAACAUGAAAAGCCAGCUAAUGACACUGUGUGUAGGCCACCAGCAGAGAUUCGUGCAUACACUGCUGCUGAGCCAGGUGUUCUUCCUCCUACAUACGGUACAUACGGAAGCGAAGCUAUUGCUGAUGGUUCCAACAGCCAAUCGUCAGAAUGGGAGCACAUCACAAAGGACGAGGCCACAUGGUACUGCUAGGAAACUGGAAAUUAAGCUUCCCAAGCCAUUGUUCAUGCACUUUAGGAAUUUUAUUUUGUUGGUCUAGAUUUAUCGAAAUAAUUUAGAACGUUUCUGUUGCAAACACGAGUUAGUUUUAAUGGCAUGUGCCUUCUCGCUAAUUGUUUCUAUUUUUCUGGUAGUUUAAUACUGAAAUAAUGUCUUAAUGUUUACUCCUUGCAUGUCAUAAUACUAAAGGAUGUUUACCUCAACUCGUGAUAAAUCAAUCAGUUUAUAAAAGCUUGAGAUACUUUAUCGUUAACUUUACAUGCUUCCGCCCAAAUCAAAAUCACAAGCAAAGCACACAUACGCAUAAAACUAAACACUAUCUUCGCUUAGUUGAUAACCCUGCAGCGGCUACGUAUCUCUCCAUCGCUUCCCGUCAGCACGUCUAUCUGACCCAUCUUCACCAUGGCCGCAGCAAACUUCCUCUUCCAGGCGAUCCCACCGCCGGCGGCCGCGUUCUGCUUCACCAGGCCCGCUGUCGUCGAGUCGGUGGCGAGGGCUUGGUCGGAGGCGAAGAGGCCUCGGUUCUGCAGGAGGUUGGCGUAGUAGGCGGUGUCCAAGGUGUAGGGGCUGCGGGGAUCCAUGAAGGCGACGAGGCUGGUGUCGUUGCUGCCCUGCGGACACUGCUGCUUCAGCUGCGACGCGUACGCCGAGUCCAAACUCGGGUCGUGCCCGUCCGUGGAGUUGAAGUCGAAGAGCCUGCUGCUGAAGGCGGCGCAGUGCGAGCGGCCGAUGGUGUGCGCACCUGCAUGCACGCGAGCGUGACCGCAUCAGAUACCUCCAAAUCAAAACAUGGACCAUCUACGUGAUUCGUCAUUUGAUCGAACGGGCUUGGUAUCGAUCACCCAUUCCACUGCACGGCAGAGUGUGUGUCUUCACUCUUCCCCAAUACCAACCAACUUACUGUGUCCAAAGGAUUUAAUGGGAGAGGUGUGGUAUGCUAUUAGAUGCAAUAAACCUGGGAGUAGCAGACUCAAAGCACAUGAAGCCGUUCCAUGGACGAGGUGGGGCGACGUACCGGAGAGAGUGACCAUCUCAUCCUGAGUGAGCCCUUUGCUGGUGAAGCUCCGAGUAAGUUGGUCGACAUCGAACGUGGGACCCGGAAGGCUAGCCAACACCUCAGAAACCAGCGACACCCUCCCGUCUCUUCUUCCAGCUGGGACCUGGUACAUCACUCCUCCCGUCUACAGAACACAACAGGCACAGAGCUUCACAUUAAUGGUCUCUUCUUUUAUAUAUAACUUGUUUGCUUGUCUUACCAUCACCACGCUAUCCCUGGCUGCUAAAGCAAGUAUAUCUGCACACGAGACGACUCCUUGGCAAGCAGCUUCCAAUCGGGUCUUCGCAUUGUCGAUGACUUCGAAUCCCCGGAGGCUUGGAUUGUUGAUGAACGAGUCCUUCUCGGCAGUGUUGUUCGAACUGGAGUCGAUAAGAACAGAACCAUCACAACCCUGUGCAACAGACGACAGUUAGCCAUUCCUUCAGUUCUGAGAGUUACGCCAUCUACAGAGCAGAUUGAAUUUGCUCACCCUCACAAAGCAGUCAUGGAAAUGCAUCCUCACGAGCCCAGCAGCCAGGCCAAUGUUACUCGAUAGCGCUCUCCUGACCUCACUGGCGAUGAUGGAUUCAGCCUGUGGGCAUGUGCUCUUGUAGAACCCGACCUGAAGCUGAGCUUCCAGCACAGAACUAUAGCACAGCACCAGCACAGAAGCUAACACUACUACCACCACUCCCAUCAGCUCCAUCUCUUUCUACAAAAUCACAACUAAGUCCAACACUUGGUUGCUGAGUGCUGCUAACCAAGUUUGGCCACAAGCUCAUUUAUAGCUUGGAAAUAUUGGAGUAGGCUUUGGGCACCAUAUGGAGAGUGGAGAGGCAUGUGGAUAACACGUUGGAUGUCACGGCCAUGGUUGACGACUGCAGCACUCCAGAAAAGGCAGGUGCACUGAUCCGAGGCAACAUAUGAGGCAGUGGACAGGAAAGAAGAGAUCAAACCAAGUACGUCGUCGAUGAUGUUGGAGGCCACCGAAGCACCACUGCGUGAUGGCAGUGGACAUGCAAGAUGGCUGCAAACCAUGAUUUCGGCACGAGGUUUUGACUGCCUUUGCAGGUCGAUGGCGAC